GGCGUGUGUGCUGCAAUGAGUCUUCCAUCCUUCUCGACAGUCACUGCUGCUGUUCACUCACUUGGGCGUGUGCGAUCUAAAUUAUUUACGUUUAAAGAAUUAAAUUGUUUAAAUACUGCUUAUGCCCAAAUACAUUAACGACUAAUAAUAAAAUAGGACUUCGGUUCUAUUUUGUUGGUUUCUAGAACUGAUUUAAUGAUUGAUAGGGAUAGUUACAGGUGCUAGCAUUCAGUGGCCAGAGGUGAAAUUGUAGGAUUCAGUGAAGACUAACUAGUGCGAAAGCGUUCACCAAGGAUGUGUUCUUUAAUCAAGAUCGAAAGUUGGGGGAUGGAAGUCGAUCAGAAUCAGUCGUAGUCUCAAUCAUAACCUAUACCGAUUAAGGAUCAGUGGACGUAUUAUUUCGACUCCAUUGGCACCUUCUGAGAAAUCAAAGUCUUUGGGUUCCGGGGGGAGUAGGGUGGCAAGGAGGAAAAUUAAAGGAAUUGACGGAAGGGCACCACCAGGAGUGGAGCAGCCGGCUUAAUUUGACUCAACACGGGAAAACUCACCAGGUCCAGACAUAGUGAGGAUUGACAGAUUGAAGAUCUUUCUUGAUUCUAUGGGUGGUGGUGCAUGCCCGUUCGUAGUUGGUGGAGUGAUUUGUUUGGUUAAUUCCGUUAACGAACGAGACCUCCACCUACCAAAUAGUUGGUUGAACCCUUUGGCUAUGCGCUUACUUUUUAGAGGGACCAUCGG
RNAcentral lists this ribosomal RNA (735 nucleotides) under uncultured eukaryote. RNAcentral describes it as "bacterial SSU rRNA". It matches the Rfam family "Eukaryotic small subunit ribosomal RNA", at positions 667 to 1426 of the family's 1831-position model. The record is from RNAcentral.